CAGCAGUCGGGGAAUAGUUGCACAAUGGGCGCAAGCCUGAUGCAGCAACGCCGUGUGAGUGAAGAAGGUUUUCCGGAUCGUAAAACUCUGUCCUAAGGGGAAGAAACAAAUGACGGUACCUUAGGAGGAAGCCCCGGCUAACUACGUGCCAGCAGCCGCGGUAAUACGUAGGGGGCAAGCGUUAUCCGGAAUCACUGGGCGUAAAGGGUGCGUAGGCGGCUUAGCAAGCCAGGGGUGAAAGGCAUUGGCUCAACCAAUGUAAGCCUUUGGAACUGUUAAGCUUGAGUGCAGGAGAGGUAAGUGGAAUUCCUAGUGUAGAGGUGAAAUUCGUAGAUAUUAGGAGGAACACCAGUGGCGAAGGCGACUUACUGGACUGUAACUGACGCUGAUGCACGAAAGCGUGGGUAGCGAACAGGAUUAGAUACCCCUGGUAG
This 434-nucleotide ribosomal RNA is filed under the name uncultured bacterium. RNAcentral describes it as "bacterial SSU rRNA". It matches the Rfam family "Bacterial small subunit ribosomal RNA", at positions 349 to 793 of the family's 1533-position model. The record is from RNAcentral.